CAGUGUGAUGAGCUCUCACCUCGUCGUUGAGCCAGUUGAGGUGGCUGAGUGACAGAAGCAGUGUGAUGAGCUCUCACCUCGUCGUUGAGCCAGUUGAGGUGGCUGAGUGACAGAAGCAGUGUGAUGAGCUCUCACCUCGUCGUUGAGCCAGUUGAGGUGGCUGAGUGACAGAAGCAGUGUGAUGAGCUCUCACCUCGUCGUUGAGCCAGUUGAGGUGGCUGAGUGACAGAAGCAGUGUGAUGAGCUCUCACCUCGUCGUUGAGCCAGUUGAGGUGGCUGAGUGA
Molecule: non-coding RNA, 284 nt
Organism: Salmo salar (Atlantic salmon)
Lineage: Eukaryota; Metazoa; Chordata; Actinopteri; Salmoniformes; Salmonidae
Source: RefSeq, a predicted model, not a curated record